Non-coding RNA from Truncatella angustata, 72 nucleotides. The record is from the annotation of a RefSeq genome assembly. Lineage: Eukaryota; Fungi; Ascomycota; Sordariomycetes; Amphisphaeriales; Sporocadaceae.
GCCCUGCUGGCGCAAUGGUAGCGCGUUAGACUUCUAAUCUAAAGGUUGUGGGUUCGACCCCCACGUGGGGCU